Molecule: unclassified non-coding RNA, 329 nt
Filed under: soil metagenome
Description: partial contains 5.8S ribosomal RNA, internal transcribed spacer 2, and large subunit ribosomal RNA
Rfam family: 5.8S ribosomal RNA (bases 1-120)
Source: RNAcentral
GAUGAAGAACGCAGCGAAAUGCGAUAAGUAGUGUGAAUUGCAGAAUUCACUGAAUCAUCGAAUCUUUGAACGCACAUUGCGCCCCUUGGUAUCCCGAGGGGCAUGCCUGUUCGAGCGUCAUUUCACCACUCAAGCCUGGCUUGGUGUUGGGCGACGUCCUCUUUGGGGACGCGCCUCGAAACGCUCGGCGGCGUGGCACCGGCUUUAAGCGUAGCAGAAUCUUUCGCUUUGGAAGUCGGGGCCCCGUCUGCCGGAAGACCUGCUCGCAAGGUUGACCUCGGAUCAGGCAGGGAUACCCGCUGAACUUAAGCAUAUCAAUAAGCGGAGGA